AAUUAAGUAAUUAUACUCCCUCACUUCUCUCAAAACGCACAUACACACCCACUCUUCCCUGCUGAAUCCUUAUUUUCGAAACAUACACAAUCUUGUCGUGGAAAGUCGUCUUCUCCUUGUCACCGCUGAGCAUCGUGCUCUGAAUUGUUGUGUCCUUGGCUCCCUCAUCAUCGUCAGUCAAGUUCCUGUCCACACCGUCGUCAUGCUCGACGUUGAGGAUUUUAAGAUGCCCAAGAAAGCUCGCUACACAAAAAGAACAAGAGUGCAAAUACCAUGUCAGCAUCCUCCAAUUGCACCUCAUGCAUCUUCACCACCCACUAACGAUAACUGGCUCAUUCCCUCGUCCCGCCCCCUCUCCCCUAAUGGUGGUGUCUCUGCAGCGGCUCCUCUCCGACCCUUUCGUCUGCCCCAGAGCGAACCAAGACCUGAGACACAGACCGCUAACGAUGUACAAAUGACGGAACUGUGCAUGAAGACAUGGACCUGGAGGCGAACGAGGUAGAUUCGUUUGACGAACACAUUGACAGGAUAUUUGCUGCUUCUGAUGCUAAAAAGUGCAAAAGACGCAAGACUACUGAGUUUUGGGAUGUUGAUCUUAUUAGUAACAAGUGUUUAACCAUAUGACUUUUUAAUUAAUUUGCUAAUGAUAUUGUAUGUUUCUCACAUGUUGGGCACAACGGAUACAUUAAUAAGAUUUUAUUUUUUAUAAAUCCUGAUGGAAUAAUCAAGUAAGCAAAGAUGAGUGUGAGGGAGGCUAUGGAUCGGCCUCUUAAUGGUAGCAAGAUCAUACUGAGGUUCAACGAGGAACUGUAAGUAAUCAGAGAUGGAGCCAGCCUGUUGAGUGGCAUUCUUUGAGUGUUGGGUUCUGAUUACAGCAAGUUUUCUAUCUGUGAAAAAAGUUGGGCAAAGGUGCUAGGCAAAGACAGGGUAUAUGAUGAUUGCAUAAAGAAGAUGUUCCACUUUCAUGAAGAUAGCGGUGGUAGAAUUAAGAAAAUAUUUUUGCAACAAAUGGGGAGGUCCUAGAAGGAUACAAGGGAUAGCUUGUAUGACAUGCAUUACAAACCAACAAGGACACCUGAGCAAAAUCUUGAGAACUGUCCAGCGGGAAUUCCUAAAGAGCAUUGGAGGUGGUUCCUUGAUUAUCGCAAUGAUCCUGCAACAAAGGCAAAGUGCAGGCAAAAUGCAAUGAAUCAAAAGAAGCAACUUUAUACUCACACUGGCAGUUCUAAAAGCUUGGCUAAGGCAAGAAAAAAAGAGGUAGUAUAGAUUUGAAUUCAAGUAUAGGUGCCUAUCAUUGUUUUGAAUAAUUCUCUUUUUUUAAGCAAAUCAUUCUUGAGUUUUCAGUUAUAAGGAAUUGACAAAUGAUGUUGACUUCCAAAAAAGUAAUGCUGGAAGUAUUAAAAUAAUUUUACUAUUUAAGUAUAAUCAAUUACUUAAUCCUUGAAAAAUAUAUGGAGCAAUCAUUAGAUACUUAAUCGAUUGAGGUAAAAUAAAUUGGUUGGUAUGUAGUUUGGGUUUAUUUAUAGAGUAAAACAAGAAAAAAUUUAUUGGAGAAAAUUAAAGAAGUGAAAUUUAUGGUAUAAACUGUAUUGUCACAAUCACAAAAAUAAGGGAGGAGAGUUGGUAGGAGAGAAGUAUGGAUCCUAAAGCACAAACGACGUGAUGGAACCUAUAUACACGAAGAAACUCAGAGGAUUGGUGUAAGUACACUUAAUAAUUUAUGUUGUAACAUGUUGGGUUUAAUUAUUAAAAUGUCUUGAGUAUGCUAUAUUCCUAGUGUGAUUGUGUAUGCUUAUUUACGUCUGCAGGAAAAAAUAUCUAAGAUUGAGUAGCUGGAUGAAACUAUGAGAAUAUUGUCUGAAAAUAAUUCACUUGCCCAAGCUCUCGGUAAAGAGCACUCGGGUAGAGUUCUUGGCAUAGGUUUUGGGCUGACACUAAGUCAACUCUUCCGUCCGAGUUCGCAGCCACCGAUGGCUAGAGCUCAAACAGAAGAGGCCCAAAGGAUACUGUUUGAACUACAGGUGGAGGUGACGGCCAAGAAAUUUAGAAGGCAGUGGAGGAUGAAGUAGUAGCAGAAAAAUUGAAAAGGAAGGCAAUGGAAGAUGAAGUAGCAACAGAGAAAACGAAGAGGCAGACAAUAGAGAGUGUGCUGGCUUAUUUGAUCCAACAACAAGGUGGGGAGUUGCCACCAGACA
Non-coding RNA from Arachis ipaensis, 2195 nucleotides. The record is from RefSeq and is a predicted model, not a curated record. NCBI's taxonomy places the organism in Eukaryota, Viridiplantae, Streptophyta, Magnoliopsida, Fabales, Fabaceae.